Oreochromis niloticus (Nile tilapia) is the source of this 1839-nucleotide long non-coding RNA. NCBI's taxonomy places the organism in Eukaryota, Metazoa, Chordata, Actinopteri, Cichliformes, Cichlidae. The record is from Ensembl.
GUCUUGUGAAGAAAGGGAUUGAUUUAUUGAUAAAUAUGGAUAAAUAUCAUCAUGACUGGCAUAACUUGAUGUUAAUCAUGACCUUAUUUUUUUCUUGUUAAGCUUCAGAGAACGUUAAACAUCCUCCUGCCUCCUCUAAAUUAAAGCCAGAUGCUCCUCAAGUUCUUUUUUUCCAUUAUCUCAUUAUGUCCCACGAUUUUUUUACCCAUCUGAGUUGAGAUUGAUGCCUCUCUCUAUCCUCUUUCUACUCUUGCCCACCCUCCACCCGGCUCUUUGAAGAACCGCUGCUCUGCCAGGUGAGUCGGUGCCUCGUGAGCACCUGCAACCACCUGCAACCACCCCGCCCUCCCUCCUCAGUCUUCUGUCCCGCUCACUGAUACCUCCAGAUUAAUGCCAGGUAAUUUGCUCCUGACCGCGCACCACCUUGUUCCUCCUCCUACCCCCUCUCCAGAUGAGACAUGCACAUUUCUUUUAGCCACCUGAGUUCCUCUGUUUUGUGUUUGUAAGCCCCUCCUUUUGUUCUUUUUUCAUUCUGCUAACUAAGCUUUCCUCAUCCAUUCCGUUGCUCUGUCCUACCCCUUCAUCCUUGCCCUCUUUCUCUGUCUCUCCUAUACCCCCUUCAUCCGUCUAUCAGAGACAGAGCCAUAUGGCCGGGUGCGGCCCAGGCCUGCCCAGCUCUCAGCCUCGUUUAAAUUCACAGCCUGGGGGUCAUUCUGCCUCUGCAGUGGGACGAUGAGAAACUGCUACGGAGGAAGGGCGGCUAAAAGCCACUGAUGAGAAGAGAUGGGAAGGGGAGAGGAGCAGGAACAACUGCGGCAGGGGGGGAAAAAAACCAAACUACAGCCUGAAAUUCUUAAUUAUAGAAUCAACAAAGGCCGUCAACAGCGAAGGGUGGAAGAAAAGUGGAAAAAGAAACAGCACAAAGGAGAGGGAUAACUGUAAGGAGAGCAGUCAAGGAGGAGAAAAUGAGGCGGGACUAAGAAGAAAGUAGCUCAGAGAGAGUGAAGGCCAGCGACAGGUUGGAAAGGAGCAGAUAAGCUGAGAGGAACGCUCAGAGGAGGGAAGGAGCGGAGCGAAACAGCGGGCAUUAAAAGAGAAGAGGUGUGAAAUUGAAACCAAUAAAUCCAGAACAGAUUCCUACAGUCGUGGGAGCCACAGUGACCGUAACACACGGCCUCGCCGGUGUUCUCUUUUUAAUUUGAGCCGGGCCUAUUGUUGUCGGAGCAGACUUCAACUUGUCAAACAUUUGUGUUCAGUGACACCAGGUUUAACGUCUCAACUGAGUUCUGAGUGCCUUUAAAAUUACUUUUCAACAAAAAAAGCAACAUGUUGCAUCAUAGCAGUGAAAAAAAUACUGCUAUAAAACUUUUUAUUUCUUGUCAGGAUGUAAUGUUUAUCACAAUUUACAGUCCCGUGAACAAGUAUUUGCCCCCUUUGUAAUUUCUUAGUUAUUUGCACAUUUGUCAAACUUAAAAAUGUCAUAUUAUCAAACAAAUUGUAAGAUUACACACAGAUAAUGCGAAGAAAUAAUACCCUUAUUUUUAAUGGAUGAUUUCUCUUAUUAAGGGGAAAAAAGGCUCCAUGUCAGUGUUUAGGCUUCCUGUUUUAUUUUGAUAGUCUCUCAGCUCAUGUGCGUUGUGUUCCCCUCUUGGUUGUUAAUUGGUUCUGUUCACCUCCACCUUGUUUUCCCCAACUGUGUCUCUUUCCCUGAUUACCUCACGUGUAUUUAAUCCCUCAGUUUUUAUUGGCACUAUGUUGUAUUGUACUGUUUGUCCUGCUUGUCUGCCUGAGUGUUCUCCUCAUAUGUUUCCUGGUUUCUUUUACCACCUGGACUUGCUG